GGGGAAUCUUGGACAAUGGGGGAAACCCUGAUCCAGCGAUGCCGCGUGUGUGAAGAAGGCCUUCGGGUUGUAAAGCACUUUCGGCGGGGAGGAUGGUAUCUCGUGCUAAUAUCACGAGGUGUUGACGUUACCCGCAUAAGAAGCACCGGCUAACUCUGUGCCAGCAGCCGCGGUAAUACAGAGGGUGCAAGCGUUAAUCGGAAUUACUGGGCGUAAAGCGCGCGUAGGUGGUUUGAUAAGUAGGCUGUGAAAUCCCCGGGCUCAACCUGGGAACUGCAGUCUAAACUGUCUGACUAGAGAUCGGUAGAGGGGGAUGGAAUUUCUGGUGUAGCGGUGAAAUGCGUAGAGAUCAGAAAGAACAUCAGUGGCGAAGGCGAUCCCCUGGACUAAAUCUGACACUGAAGUGCGAAAGCGUGGGGAGCAAAC
RNAcentral lists this ribosomal RNA (426 nucleotides) under uncultured bacterium. RNAcentral describes it as "bacterial SSU rRNA". It matches the Rfam family "Bacterial small subunit ribosomal RNA", at positions 356 to 773 of the family's 1533-position model. The record is from RNAcentral.